Molecule: ribosomal RNA, 253 nt
Filed under: uncultured bacterium
Lineage: Bacteria
Description: partial 16S ribosomal RNA
Rfam family: Bacterial small subunit ribosomal RNA
Source: RNAcentral
UACGUAGGGUGAGAGCGUUGUCCGGAAUUAUUGGGCGUAAAGGGCUCGUAGGCGGUCUGUCGCGUCGGGAGUGAAAACACGGGGCUUAACCCCGUGCCUGCUUCCGAUACGGGCUGACUAGAGGUAUGCAGGGGAGAACGGAAUUCCUGGUGUAGCGGUGAAAUGCGCAGAUAUCAGGAGGAACACCGGUGGCGAAGGCGGUUCUCUGGGCAUUACCUGACGCUGAGGAGCGAAAGUGUGGGGAGCAAACAGG